GGCUCUGCAAAUGUCCCCUUUUUUCCUCAUUAUGCCAUUUGCAUUCCUUCCAAAGCUGCUCACUCAGUGCAAGAAAAUGACCUUCCCAGACAGAGAAGGAGUGUUCUUUAGUCAAAGAUAUAGGAGUAGCUGGGCUCCUUGGCAGAACCUCCAAACAGGAAAAGAUUUCACAUGUAUUCAGUCAGCUUAGCAUUGCUGG
RNAcentral lists this small RNA (199 nucleotides) under Castor canadensis (American beaver). RNAcentral's name for it is "7SK RNA (ENSCCNG00000012414.1)". It matches the Rfam family "7SK RNA", at positions 73 to 281 of the family's 331-position model. Rfam says of the family: 7SK was discovered as an abundant small nuclear RNA in the mid-70s but a possible function has only recently been suggested. Two independent studies have found that 7SK RNA binds the CDK9/cyclin T complex (known as elongation factor P-TEFb). Lineage: Eukaryota; Metazoa; Chordata; Mammalia; Rodentia; Castoridae. The record is from RNAcentral.